This 280-nucleotide ribosomal RNA is filed under the name uncultured Staphylococcus sp. Its description in RNAcentral is "partial 16S ribosomal RNA". It matches the Rfam family "Bacterial small subunit ribosomal RNA", at positions 81 to 355 of the family's 1533-position model. The record is from RNAcentral. Lineage: Bacteria; Bacillati; Bacillota; Bacilli; Caryophanales; Staphylococcaceae.
CUCCUUUGACGUUAGCGGCGGACGGGUGAGUAACACGUGGGUAACCUACCUAUAAGACUGGGAUAACUUCGGGAAACCGGAGCUAAUACCGGAUAAUAUUUCGAACCGCAUGGUUCGAUAGUGAAAGGUGGUUUUGCUAUCACUUAUAGAUGGACCCGCGCCGUAUUAGCUAGUUGGUAAGGUAACGGCUUACAAGGCGACGAUACGUAGCCGACCUGAGAGGGUGAUCGGCAACACUGGAACUGAGACACGGUCCAGACUCCUACGGGAGGCAGCAGCC